GCCAGGCGUGGUGGUGCAUGUCUGUAGUCCCAGCUAUUCGGGAGGCCGAGGCUGGAGGAUCGCUUGAGUCCAGGAGUUCUGGGCUGUAGUGCACUAUGCCAAUCGGGUGUCCCCACUAAGUUCGGCAUCAAUAUGGUGACCUCCCAGGAGCGGGGGACCACCAGGUUGCCUAAGGAGGGGUGAACCAGCCCAGGUCAGAAACGGAGCAGGUCAAAACUCCUGUCCUGAUCAGUAGUGGGAUUGCGCCUGUGAAUAGCCACUGCACUCCAGCCUGGGCAACAUAGCGAGACCCUGUCUCUU
This is an unclassified non-coding RNA of Callithrix jacchus (white-tufted-ear marmoset), 300 nucleotides long. It matches the Rfam family "Metazoan signal recognition particle RNA". From Rfam's summary of the family: The signal recognition particle (SRP) is a universally conserved ribonucleoprotein. It is involved in the co-translational targeting of proteins to membranes. The eukaryotic SRP consists of a 300-nucleotide 7S RNA and six proteins: SRPs 72, 68, 54, 19, 14, and 9. The record is from Ensembl. Lineage: Eukaryota; Metazoa; Chordata; Mammalia; Primates; Cebidae.